AUUGAACGCUGGCGGCAUGCCUUACACAUGCAAGUCGAACGGUAACAGGUCUUCGGAUGCUGACGAGUGGCGAACGGGUGAGUAAUACAUCGGAACGUGCCUAGUAGUGGGGGAUAACUACUCGAAAGAGUGGCUAAUACCGCAUGAGAUCUACGGAUGAAAGCAGGGGAUCGCAAGACCUUGUGCUACUAGAGCGGCCGAUGGCAGAUUAGGUAGUUGGUGGGAUAAAAGCUUACCAAGCCGACGAUCUGUAGCUGGUCUGUGAGGACGAUCAGCCACACUGGGACUGAGACACGGCCCAGACUCCUACGGGAGGCAGCAGUGGGGAAUUUUGGACAAUGGGCGAAAGCCUGAUCCAGCAAUGUCGCGUGCAGGAUGAAGGCCUUCGGGUUGUAAACUGCUUUUGUACGGAACGAAAAGCCCUGGGUUAAUACCCUGGGGUCAUGACGGUACCGUAAGAAUAAGCACCGGCUAACUACGUGCCAGCCGCCGCAGUAA
Molecule: ribosomal RNA, 498 nt
Filed under: uncultured bacterium
Lineage: Bacteria
Description: partial 16S ribosomal RNA
Rfam family: Bacterial small subunit ribosomal RNA
Source: RNAcentral